ACUCCACUAGGGACCAUUAGAGAGUUAAGCCAUUUGAUCAAGGUUGAACCAAGCACAAUCUUUUAAGAAAUGGUUUAAUCUAGUCAAGGUCAAAGUAUGGAAGUAUCCAGCUUGCGAAAGUUGGGGCAGAAGAUGGAUCGGGUUUACAUAGUCUCUUUGACUAUUGCCAACACAUGAUUGAGCUAAUGAUUUACAUAAUUAGGAACUAUUGAUGUGCCUAUAUUUUAUUUCCAGUUGCGCUUUGACUCUGACAGGAUGUAAAACAAUGUUGUUUUAAUGAAAUAGAGUUGAUUCGACCAUAUGUUC
This is a long non-coding RNA of Glycine soja, 306 nucleotides long. RefSeq lists it as uncharacterized. Lineage: Eukaryota; Viridiplantae; Streptophyta; Magnoliopsida; Fabales; Fabaceae. The transcript is spliced from 2 exons. The record is from RefSeq and is a predicted model, not a curated record.